UGACACCGGAAGCCGUUUCCGCUGACGUCAUGUAAACAGAGAGGCGGAGCCAAUAUUAGCAAAGAAUAGCUCACAGUGCUGUGGUGCACCCGGUGACUCCCGAGUCUCAGUCAAGUUACUUCAAGUAACGGUAAAAUCCAAUUUAUCUCCAAUUUACAUAUCUAGCUCACUGUAUCUGACUGUUGUCAAAUACAGACAACAGUUCACUGCGAUUAACGGCACAAGUGGACGGAUACGAAAGCGGAAGAACUUUCUGUUUAGCAUAGUGCAGCAGCUAAAGUAGUUAGCUUGACAAGUAGCAGUUAGAGCGUUAGCAGCCAGCAGGCUAGCUCGCUCCCUUCUCUGCUGUCAUGCCUGGAGCUCCUCGAGAUUUCACUGCGUAAACGAGAACACCUAGCAGUUAGCUUGCUAGCUUUCACACGUCCAGCAGCAGUUUGUACCCACACCGAGAAGGGGGGACUGUACUUGGAGCGGUGACAGGUCUGAACUAAGGCACAGCGGAGGGUUGGUGCUUUGCUACGGGGACUUGACUCUUCAGCCGGCUGGACAUAUCUCACUCACACCGCCUGGACUUCCCGGUGAAAUGAGGGACAGCUUGAAUUACUGAGCUUCUGCGAAACGGUCGUGGAGCCGUAACACUGCCAAAGCUUUAAUAUAAGACAUCUCAGCCCAGCUGACAAGGAGUGUCAACCUUUCUCUUUGCCAAAAAGACAUUCGUCAAGACUGCAGAUAUGCUGACUGACAACAGGAAACGACACCAUAGUUGUGACAGCGAGGAAGACCAACAGCUGAGACCACAGGCCAAGAGGUCAGGAGGGGAUCCCAGCCUGCUAGUGUCCGAUUUGGACUCAGAGUCUUCCAGCAGCGACAGCAGUAAUGGGAUCAGUAGUCCAGAGAGAGCAAUAGUGGCCACGGCCAGGCCAUGCAUACACAGCCAGAACAACUGCAUCACCCAGCACACCCUCAGCCCAAAGCCUGAAGACUCUGCCAGCUCCUUGCAGCAUGGUUUCCAUGGUGACGGGAGAAGUGUCUCUUACGACUACAUCAACAGAGUCCUGAGGGAGGCGCACUUCAGCAGUCUGCAGACCAGAGGGCGUCCAGGCUCGACAUGACCGUGACCUCUGACCCCUCUCCUGACCUUUUAGUCCCUCACCCAUCAGUGCCGGUGCUUCCGGCACGAUGGCUCCUCCUGAAAGCCUCAAGCGACACACUCGGGUCAGGGGUGAGGGGAUGACGUGGGGAGGUUUACAGAUUUUGGGCACAACGGCUCAUCCCCACCUAACAUGUACCAUUUGUUAAGACCAUAAGCACAUCCGCCUUUCCAUGGCCCAGCCACUGUGGUUUUUUGUGCAGUAUUGAUGUGUGUGUGUGUUUGUGCGUGUGUGUGUGCACGCACCCUGUGCACUUUAUAAAGAGGUAUCACUCUCUUUACAUGCGUGCGUUGAUGUGUGGACAUUUUCAUUGGUGCUAAUCACAAGAAAAGUGUGAUGAUGAUGAUCCAAAGUGCUUGCAAAACUAAAUAAAGCUAAGCACUUUACUCAAUAAUUCCUUCUGUUUACUCUCGACUGGAGAAGUCAGUCGCAUGUUUGUAUCCGUGAGGAGGAAGUUGUAGUGAUCGCGUUCCAAAAGUAAGUUGCCGGAGGCCAACGGACUCACUUAUUAGAACAAUCCAGUUAAAGAAUAUUUUAGGCCUUAUUUGCUUUCUCUAGCCAAAGUCAUAAAGUUAGCAAACACUGCUAUUUGCAGUUAUUUUCACUGUCGAAAUGAAUCUAAAAAGUCUAGUUGUGGUAGUUCAGUGGGUUCACAGUAAUGGAGCAGUUUCUCCAUGAGCCUCGCCACCAAAAUCCAACCUUAGAUUAGACCCGGGUUAAUUAUAGAGACGUGAGCAGGCGCUGGAGUCUGCAGCUCAGGCAGUCAUAGGCUCAGUACAGUCCUGACAAAAACAAGCCCUCAGAAAGGGUGUCCAAAAUGUUUUAAAACCGGAUGUUUACUUCUGUAACAUUUUACACAUUGUGUAUCUGUGUGUCAUAAGCCUGUCAGCCAUACUUGUUUAUGGAUGGUUUAAUACGACCAGUACACUGUGUUGCAAAUAAAACGAGAUGUGAAAGGGAUUCAUUUGUUAUGUAACUUUCCGAAUCAUUUGACAUUGAAAUAAAGUGUUGCUAAACGUGAUGCCUGCGACAUGUCACAUCUAAAUACAGAACAUCAAGACCUCUGUAGUAGUUGGUGCUGUUACAAAAAUACAGCGGGUUUUAUUGUUUUUCAGCAUGUUGAACAGCAUGCCUUGUGUUCACUGAAACAAAAUACAUCAGUGGUGUUCAUUAUAGUACCAGC
Amphiprion ocellaris (clown anemonefish) is the source of this 2334-nucleotide long non-coding RNA. Lineage: Eukaryota; Metazoa; Chordata; Actinopteri; Pomacentridae. The record is from Ensembl.